UGUCAAUUUGUCUGUUUUAAUUUAUUAAAACGAGUUUACAUAGAUUAAAAUCACUUAUACCAAGUCUUGCUUUUACUGUUCUUGCUUUUGAAACUAAAACACUUUGCCUACUAAGAGAGACUCUAACCUGAGAUUAAAAACACUUCUUGGAGCCUUCUUGCUUUAAUCUUUGGUUCAAAGCCUUGGUUUAAGAACUUCACAUUGUAAUAACCUUUAUAUCUUUUCUUCUCUAUUGUGU
This 238-nucleotide long non-coding RNA is filed under the name Vigna radiata. Its description in RNAcentral is "long non-coding RNA (VRAD_LNC014671)". Lineage: Eukaryota; Viridiplantae; Streptophyta; Magnoliopsida; Fabales; Fabaceae. The record is from RNAcentral.